This 858-nucleotide long non-coding RNA is filed under the name Vulpes vulpes (red fox). RNAcentral describes it as "lncRNA (ENSVVUG00000015426.1)". The record is from RNAcentral. Lineage: Eukaryota; Metazoa; Chordata; Mammalia; Carnivora; Canidae.
CUGGAAUCCUGGAACUCCACACAAAGGCACCUGUUGUCCUGACAACCCCUGAGGCGUAGGGGAGAAGCAGUGGGGAGGCCCUUCCAUUUUUCUAUCAUGUGUCUGUCAGGAGGGGAACAAGAUUACGAAAUUGUGAGCAAAUUUGCUUCAAAUCCCUUGUGGAACAAGGCAGGGUGCAAACAGCCAAAUAAAACACAAAUCACAGUGAUUUCUGUGCAUCACCUCUGGUGUUGCCUUAUGAAGGAUCUCCACGGAAGAAGGCUGAAGAAUCGGUUACACAGCUGCAUACAUCCAGGGGAAGUGGAAUGAUGGACACAUCAUCAUGCUGCUCUGCCCAGCUCCUCCCUUGCCUUUCCGGUACUUGUGGUGCAGUCUUCUUUUUGGCCCCUCUGGACAAUCCUUCAACAUUCAGUAAUAGAUUUCCAAGUAGUGCAUUUAUAUUCCUAACCAGCAUCUCAGCUUGACUGGGAAAUGAAGAAAUCAGGUACAACCAGCACAAUUAACUGUGCAAAAAGUUUUUGCGCAGUCUUCCUUACAGAACAGCAUUUGUUUUCUGUACAGUGUUGAUUUCAUAGCACUCCCUUAAAGGCAUCCUUGCUGCUCAUGGAGUUCUUCCUGCUGUUCCUCUUCAGGAUUCCAUUUUGAUUCUAUCCACGGAGAGAAGUCUUGCAUCUAAAGAUACAAAAACAAACAAACAAACAAAAUCCUCUCUCUAUUCCAACAUGGCCUUGAUUUAAGAUAUGAAGAGCAAUUUGCAGGGCACAUGCUCCUGAGCUUGGAGAGUCUGUACACUCCCAUGCUCUGUUGGUAGGUCUGUUAACCAAUAAAACUAUUUUGCAAAGGAAUUGUGAAAACCUC